GGGUCGAUGGCGUAGUUGGUUAUCGCAUCUGUCUAACAUUGUGAUAACCACUCAGAUAGUUACACAGAAGGUCCUCAGUUCAAACCUGGGUCGACUUA
Molecule: non-coding RNA, 98 nt
Organism: Armillaria mellea
Lineage: Eukaryota; Fungi; Basidiomycota; Agaricomycetes; Agaricales; Physalacriaceae
Source: the annotation of a GenBank genome assembly